RNAcentral lists this non-coding RNA (78 nucleotides) under Rubrivivax gelatinosus. The record is from RNAcentral. RNAcentral also lists the same sequence under 1 other name. Lineage: Bacteria; Pseudomonadati; Pseudomonadota; Betaproteobacteria; Burkholderiales; Sphaerotilaceae.
GCCCGCUCCAGCGCCGAUUUGUUUCCUGAUUGCGGGCGCUUUAACAAAUGCCGCUAAAGAGGACACCGAGACCCGGUG